RNAcentral lists this ribosomal RNA (301 nucleotides) under uncultured bacterium. Its description in RNAcentral is "partial 16S ribosomal RNA". It matches the Rfam family "Bacterial small subunit ribosomal RNA", at positions 509 to 807 of the family's 1533-position model. The record is from RNAcentral.
CAGUCGCCGCGGGAAUACGAAGGGGGCUAGCGUUGCUCGGAAUGACUGGGCGUAAAGGGCGCGUAGGCGGCGAUCAAAGUCAGGCGUGAAAUUCCUGGGCUCAACCUGGGGGCUGCGCUUGAUACUUGGUUGCUUGAGUGGGGAAGAGGGUCGUGGAAUUCCCAGUGUAGAGGUGAAAUUCGUAGAUAUUGGGAAGAACACCGGUGGCGAAGGCGGCGACCUGGUCCUUUACUGACGCUGAGGCGCGAAAGCGUGGGGAGCAAACAGGAUUAGAUACCCCUGUAGUCCCUGUCUCUUAUAC